Molecule: non-coding RNA, 20 nt
Filed under: Rattus norvegicus (Norway rat)
Lineage: Eukaryota; Metazoa; Chordata; Mammalia; Rodentia; Muridae
Source: RNAcentral
UAGGAGGUUCUACAUGAGGC